CAGCAGCCGCGGUAAUACGGAGGGUGCAAGCGUUAAUCGGAAUUAUUGGGCGUAAAGCGUGCGUAGGCGGUUCGUUAAGUCUGUUGUGAAAGCCCCGGGCUCAACCUGGGAAUGGCAAUGGAUACUGGCGAGCUAGAGUGUGUCAGAGGAUGGUGGAAUUCCCGGUUUAGCGGUGAGAUGCGUAGAUAUCAAGAGGAACACCGGUGGCGAAGGCGGCUUCCUGGAAGAUACCUGACUCUGAAACACGAAGGCCAGGGGAGCGAGUGGGAUUAGAGACCCCUGUAGUCCCUGUCUCUUAUAC
This 301-nucleotide ribosomal RNA is filed under the name uncultured bacterium. Its description in RNAcentral is "partial 16S ribosomal RNA". It matches the Rfam family "Bacterial small subunit ribosomal RNA", at positions 509 to 807 of the family's 1533-position model. The record is from RNAcentral.